GGAUGAUAAUGUUUUUGGCAAGACAAUUGCAGAAUUGUUGCCAAAGAGGGUAAUUUGUGUGUGGAAGCCAAGGAAAUCACCAGCUCCGAAACACGGAAGCCCGCUGUGGAGCGCCGGAUAUUUGAAAGAUAAUUGGAUUGACACAGAUCUGCCAUCAACCAAAUUUGAAAGUAACAUGAAGCAUUUAAGUGAGCAACCACCAGUAUCGUCAAGGAAAUUCUUUUAUAGAGUGGAAAAUACUGUUACACCACAAGCAGAUAAUCCAAUUGUGUGUGUUAAACCUGUGACAAACCGGAUUCAUGGAUACGCUAGGCUGUUCAUAACACAGUGCGUCUCAAAGGGCUGUGCUGAUAAGUUGCAGAUCUUCUCUACAGAUUUUAUUGAUGAGGAUUUUGUUGAAGCGUGUGUUGGAUUAACACAGGCAAGGGUUGAAGGGAAGGCUUAAUUUGUCCAAUCUUCCGGAGUUCUUGCUCUCAUUUUAGAGAUUUUUAUUGUGAGCCAUUAUCUCAUGUGAUUAGUUUCUGGGUGGAAGAUUUGCCCCAUUAUCCUUAAUGGGGAACACUGUUCAUUUGUCUGUAUGUAUGCUAAAUUAUUUGUUUGUGAUGUAUAAAGGAUUUGUAUGUUGGUGUUGGAAGAAUCUGAUUG
This 645-nucleotide long non-coding RNA is filed under the name Populus tremula. RNAcentral's name for it is "long non-coding RNA (PTRE_LNC002236)". Lineage: Eukaryota; Viridiplantae; Streptophyta; Magnoliopsida; Malpighiales; Salicaceae. The record is from RNAcentral.